RNAcentral lists this unclassified non-coding RNA (4075 nucleotides) under Limulus polyphemus (Atlantic horseshoe crab). RNAcentral's name for it is "dnaJ homolog subfamily C member 25 homolog, transcript variant X2". The record is from RNAcentral. Lineage: Eukaryota; Metazoa; Arthropoda; Merostomata; Xiphosura; Limulidae.
UUGGUGUAUAACUAGGAAAACGUUUCAUAAACGUGGCAAAGAUUUAGCUGAGACUAUUAAACUACUUGUAAAACAGUUUCGGUUAUUAGAAUACAGUAUAUAAAAAUAUUAGCAACUGAGGAUUUCAGCCUUAUUAUGCUAAAUAAUUUACGUUGUUUACAUUAUUAUAGUCUUGUGGUAGACUUGUAAGUUGUAUACUUUUAAAAUUAAAUUAAAUUUGUAAGCCUAAACUAACUUAAAACUUAAGUUUGAUUUCAUUUUAAAUCCCCAGAAUCGGGCCUACUCAUGUUUUGGUAAGGAGACUGAAUGAUGUGUUGCCAGUUUGCGGUCCAACAGAAAUCAAAUUAAAAUUGGCUUCUGCUUGGAAUCGUGAUUAAACUUAAAGAACUUUAAGUUUAGGUUACGUGAAGUUAAUCUACAAAUUACUUAAGUAAUUAAAGAGACGUACAAUAAUUCCACUGUUCCAGGAAGCGUAGAUUCAUCUUCUUGGCUUGAAAAUGUUUAUGAAUAUUGACAGAGGGUUUACUUUUUCAAAUAUUUUCACAAUAAUAUUGGUAUUAAUCAUGGUACAAGCCAUACAUGGUUUUAUGGAGCUAGAAGGACUGUACUGUGGUAAAGAAAACUGCUAUGAUGUUCUUGGUGUUCCUCGAGAAUCAUCUAAAAGUGACAUUGCACGUGCUUACAGACGUUUGGCAAGAAAAUAUCAUCCAGAUAUGCAUAGGUCCACAGAAGCUAAAAAAAAAGCUGAAGAACGGUUUACUCAGUUGGCAACGGCUUACGAAAUCUUAAGAGAUGAAGAAUCUAGAGCAGAUUAUGACUACAUGCUGGAUAAUCCUGAUGAAGUAUACAGACAUUAUUAUCGUUAUUACAGGAGAAGAGUUGCACCAAAAGUAGAUGUAAGAAUUGUCUUGGCAGUAACAAUAACGGUCAUUUCAGUUGUUCAGUACUGGGGUGCAUGGUCUCGUUAUAAAGCUGCUGUUGAUUAUUUAGUGACAGUUCCAAAAUAUAGGUUAAAGGCAGUUGACAUAGCAAAACAAGAAGGCUUACUUAACUCUUCUAAAAAGAAAGACCGUCGUCCAAAAGAGGUGAUAAAAGAAGAAGAAGAAGCAAUUUUGAAGAAAGUUCUUGAAGAAAAGGUCGAUAUUAAAGGAGGAUAUUCAAAACCUUCAAUCAAAGAUAUUUUAUGGAUUCAACUCAUUUUACUACCAUAUACCAUUGGAGCUUACAUAGUGUGGUACUUUAAAUGGGUAUGGAAAUUCAACAUUUGUAAGGAAGAGUUUGGAGAAGAGGAAAAAUUUUACCUUAUACGAAAGAAAUUAAAAUGCAAUGAAUCUCAAUGGAAUUCAAUAGAAGAAGAAGAGAAAUUGUUUUAUUUGAAGAAAGAACUAUGGAAAGAGGAAAAUUUUAAAGUUUGGAAAAAACAAAAAGAAGAUGAAAUGAAAGCUAAACUUGCAGAAAAUGCGAAGUACAAAAGUUACCGCAGGUAUAUGAGGAACCAUGGACCAGGCCAAAUAACUUUUGAAGAUUAAAAACUACUUUCGAUGUCUGUACUUAGGUAUUUUAUUAUGUUUAUCACAUUUGUGACUUAAAGUACACAAAACUGUUUCUUGUGUGGUAAAAUUUUUAUUGUUUGUAAUGAAGACAACCAGUUGAGGAUGAGUAAAAAACAAACAAAAAAAAACAUUCAUUGGUUGGAAUAAUUUAAGUUUUGUUUUUAUGAAAACCAAAAUGUUCUCAUCCUUUUUAAAAGGGUUAUUAGAAAAUCUAAGAUUUGUUUUGGAAUUAUAUGCUGCAUAAAAAAAAACUAAAUUAUAAAAAUAAUUGUCUUGUGUGUUGCUUUACAAUCAACAUAUUCUUAAAAUGAACUGGACACCGUUGCAGAAGUAAAGCUGUAUUUAACUUGUAUGCUGUGGUUUAUAUGACUAAUUAAUGGUUUGUAGCAGCUGCACAAAGAAGCCAAAUCAAAGUAUUUUUAUGUGCAUACUAUCUACAAAAUUUAUUUGCCAAAGCUAUGUGUAUUACUAGUAGUAAGCAUAGUUUUUGAGUUGUCAAAUAAAUUUUGCAUUUUGGAAACUUGUGUUUUUCUGUAUGUGAGGCCAGUUGUGAAUACCAGUUAGAAAGAGGAAUCAUAUUAUGCAAACACUCAAGUAUUGUUCUUUAUGUAAUUAAAAUGUAAUUAACAAUUUUUAAGAUUUAGUGAGUAACGAAAAACUUUGUCUAUUGUGCAUAUGAACAGACAUUGAGUGGUUUUCAUGUAUACCCUGGUUAAAGUAUCCUAUGAGAAAGUAUCUUGUAUGCUAACUAGAUCAAAUUUACUUAUUCACCCUCUUCUGAAUAAGGCUUCAGGCAGACAACCUUGUAGGUGCCUACUUGACUGCAUAAUGUAGCUAUUGAUAACUAUUUCUGUGAAUUUCACUUGUAUUUACAGAUUACAUGUGCAUAUGAAUUAAGCUAGGUAUCCUACUGUUAUGUACAUCACAUAAACCACUUUAUACAUAUUGGUUAUUUUUUAUUUCUACAUACAGUAAUUUCUGAAUUACAUAAACAUGUAUCUAAUAUGAACUCCCGGUCUAACAGUACAGAUGUACAUACAUAAUAUGCAUUUCCUCUGUGAGAAUGCAAAUGUUUAUAUGUAGUACUAAUUCCCACUGUAAGAGAGCAAAUGUUCUUACAUAGUAUGAAUUUUUACUAUAAAUUGGGUACCAGUUUUUUCUUGUGGUAAUCUCAGCUUUCCAUCUCUUAGACUCGGGAGUGAACCCAAAACCUUUCGCACACUAGAUCUGUGGAGUUCAGUAUCAAAGGCAUCACUCAAUCUUCAAGGGCAAAAGAGGCUAGCAGGUGAUAUGCUCUCUCUAUUCAUGCUUCUUCCACUACAAAGUUGUGUUAAUUGUAGUUUACGACAAGAUCCAACAGAUUGAUUUGAUUGUGAAAGUACUACAAGAGAAAAGGGAGCAGCUGAAUUUAUGCCAACACAAGCUGAGAGUGACAGGAAGAGAUCCAGCUGCAAUUGAAAUCAGUCAUGGUUUUCUCAUCCAUUGAUAGGCCAUGAAGACAACUAAGAUGGAGAUUGAUGCCAUAACCAUUCAACAGAUGAUGUCCAUCAUUAGAAGAAGGUACAACAAAUACUAUCAUAAAGGUCAUAUUGGAUAAUAAUGACGUGUUUCUACUUCCAAUUUAUUUCUGCCAACAGUAGCAACUGACAUGCCCCAUAAUAAUGGUGUUAAUCUUAACUCUUUUAAGCUCGGAAUUUUAUGCUUGUUCUGUCAGAAGCAUUUUCAUGAUUUCCUAAUAAUUAUCACCAUAUCUUAUAGAGUUUCAAUUUUAUUAAUUUUGUGAAUAACAACAUAGUUUGGAUUAGUUUUCAGCCAAAGAGACAUAAGUAUUAUUGGACACUGUCACCAUUCGAUGGGUAAAUUGGUAUUUUUGGCUGGAUGCUGCUUGGGUUUAAGGAGUUAAGAGACCACACAUGUUGACAUACAGGAAAUUGCGUUUAUACACAAAAAUAUUUUCCCCAACUGAUAGCAUCUUACACAAAUCUGGAUGCUACACAUUGCUCUAUUUUGGGAAACAGGUAAAACCAAAGUAGUGAAACUGCUGCAGAUGGAACUACAAAUCUAUAAUUAAAUCUUCCAAAAGGACCACCAAGUGAAUUUGACCAAUUAAAGUUAUGUUUCUAAGUAGCAUGAUACUGAAGUAUUUUUCACCCCCUGACUGUGAUCAGGUAAAACAUUUUACAUCCAAGGAACACCGCAGUUCAAGAGUAUCCCAUUGAGAGCUAAAUGGAAUACGUGAGAUUUAGGAUCGUAAUUUGUAUAGAAAUUAUAAUCUUAUAAGAGUGUCAUGUAGGAUUCUUUAAUGAUAUAAAACUGUGUUGUUAAAAUAGAUGUUUAACAAAAUUAACUUUUUAUAAUUACAUUAAUCUGUUUGUAUGGUACUGUGCAAAAAGGGAGAAUUAGUCACUAAACUAUCUAGCUGUUCAAAGUAAAUUCUAUAAAAUCAAAUUAUGCUACCAUGAAGUGUGCAUACCACAUAUUGUGUAUGUGAGCGCAUAAAUAAAGUUUAUAUACGUAUUGCA